RNAcentral lists this unclassified non-coding RNA (1016 nucleotides) under Hevea brasiliensis (rubber tree). The record is from RNAcentral. Lineage: Eukaryota; Viridiplantae; Streptophyta; Magnoliopsida; Malpighiales; Euphorbiaceae.
AAGCAAUUUACUCAAGAAACCAUCUACAAUCGUCGCCGGAAGAGAUGUCGGCCAAUCUCCCAAUUCUUCCCGACGCAAUCUCAAUUCCCGCCAGAAAUGGCACCAGUGAGAACCUCUUCGCCGCCGUAGACAUCGGUACCAACUCCUUCAAGCUCCUCGUAGUUCGCGCCGACCCUUCCACCGGCCGUUUCCUCACCGUCGAUCGGUUCAAGGAAAGAGUCCUCCUCGGCCUUGAUACUAACACCACCACUACCUCCGCCAUUAUCUCCAACGCCUCUCUGCUACGCGCCACCACAGCACUUCGAAAGUUUCAGAAGCUUCUCCAGUCCCAUCGCGUUCCUUCCUCCCAUUCUCGCAUCGUAGCUACUUCUGCUGUUCGAGAAGCUUCCAAUCGAUCACAAUUCCUUCAAACGAUUGAUGAAACCCUAGGUCUGAAAGUUGAUGUACUCUCCGGUCUCGAAGAGGCCCGCCUUAUAUACAAAGGUAUACUUCAGUUCCAUCCUGUUCAUGACCGUACAGUUCUCACAAUUGACAUAGGAGGUGGCUCUACAGAGUUUGUAAUUGGCAAAGAGGGGCAGAUUUUGUUCUCUAUUUCACUAGCAUUGGGACAUGUCACUUUAACUCAAAAAUUUCCCGAAGUUACAGAAAUGCGGGAACAUAUUAAGGUUAUAAUCCGUGCCUCGGGCUUAAAUGAGAAGGUUAAGCAUUAUAAUAUUGAUAAAGUGAUUGGUUCAUCAGGGACAAUUAAGAAUAUUGAAAAGGCGAUUUUCCGUGGCUAUGUAAGCAAUAUGGAGGGAAAUGUGGGCAUAUCUAAGGGAAGUAGGAGGGAUUGGAGUUUUACAAUGGACGAAUUGAAGGGCUUAGUGGAGCGGUUGAGUGAGGAAGAGAGAAGAAUUGGAGGGAAGGUUCGAACGCAGGGCUUCUUCAAGAAGAGGUCAGCAUUUAUUGUGGCAGGGGCAGUUUUAUUGGAGGAAAUAUUUGAGGACCUUAAGAUUGAAGAGAUGGAGGUUUCUGGG